UACUAGCUCAGUGGCAGAGCACCUGUUUUGAAUGCAGAAGGUUCCUGGUUCAAUCCCCAGCAUCUCAA
This is a non-coding RNA of Podarcis lilfordi (Lilford's wall lizard), 68 nucleotides long. NCBI's taxonomy places the organism in Eukaryota, Metazoa, Chordata, Lepidosauria, Squamata, Lacertidae. The record is from the annotation of a GenBank genome assembly.